Non-coding RNA from Schistosoma curassoni, 46 nucleotides. Lineage: Eukaryota; Metazoa; Platyhelminthes; Trematoda; Strigeidida; Schistosomatidae. The record is from Rfam.
GCACUGCUGUGGAGUCCCACAAUAGGACGAAACGGCAGUCCAGUGC